This 116-nucleotide microRNA precursor is filed under the name Mus spretus (western wild mouse). RNAcentral's name for it is "microRNA 466j (ENSMSPG00010028135.1)". The record is from RNAcentral. Lineage: Eukaryota; Metazoa; Chordata; Mammalia; Rodentia; Muridae.
GUGUGUGUGUGUGUGCAUUCGUGUGUUUGUGCAUGUGUGUAUGUGUGCACAUUUAUGUGCGUGCAUGUGUAUGUAUGUGUGUGUGCAUGUGUGUAAUUGUGUAUAUAUGUGCAUAC